GCCACCUUAGCUCAGUCGGUAGAGCAUCUCAUUCGUAACGAGAAGGUCGCCGGUUCGAUCCCGGCAGGUGGCUCCA
This 76-nucleotide transfer RNA is filed under the name Candidatus Saccharimonadota bacterium. Its description in RNAcentral is "tRNA-Thr". It matches the Rfam family "tRNA". From Rfam's summary of the family: Transfer RNA (tRNA) molecules are approximately 80 nucleotides in length. Their secondary structure includes four short double-helical elements and three loops (D, anti-codon, and T loops). Further hydrogen bonds mediate the characteristic L-shaped molecular structure. tRNAs have two regions of fundamental functional importance: the anti-codon, which is responsible for specific mRNA codon recognition, and the 3' end, to which the tRNAs corresponding amino acid is attached (by aminoacyl-tRNA synthetases). tRNAs cope with the degeneracy of the genetic code in two manners: having more than one tRNA (with a specific anti-codon) for a particular amino acid; and 'wobble' base-pairing, i.e. permitting non-standard base-pairing at the 3rd anti-codon position. Lineage: Bacteria; Candidatus Saccharimonadota. RNAcentral also lists the same sequence under 2 other names. The record is from RNAcentral.